This 87-nucleotide transfer RNA is filed under the name freshwater metagenome. RNAcentral's name for it is "tRNA-Ser". It matches the Rfam family "tRNA". Rfam says of the family: Transfer RNA (tRNA) molecules are approximately 80 nucleotides in length. Their secondary structure includes four short double-helical elements and three loops (D, anti-codon, and T loops). The record is from RNAcentral. RNAcentral also lists the same sequence under 1 other name.
GGAGGGGUGGCAGAGCGGACGAAUGCGACGGUCUUGAAAACCGUUGAGGGGCAACUCUCCGGGGGUUCGAAUCCCCCCCCCUCCGCC